Molecule: long non-coding RNA, 322 nt
Filed under: Mytilus galloprovincialis (Mediterranean mussel)
Lineage: Eukaryota; Metazoa; Mollusca; Bivalvia; Mytilida; Mytilidae
Source: RNAcentral
GAAAAUUCAGAUCAGAUAACGAAACUGGGUCCAGCAACAUUUAUAAGCAAUUUAAGAUUUUUACCCUCACAGUUUCCAUUCACCACAAAUAUUCUCGUUACAACGAAUCAUUUUAAAUACAAAAAUACCAGUUGCAGCCUUUUGUUUAUCUAUUAAUAUAUGUAUACGGAUAAAGUUAUGAAAGGCAGCAGGAUCACCAGGGUGAGGAGUCCAUGUCAUCUGAAACAAAUGCUAAGCAUAGAUCUAGAAAGCGACAGAUAAUCAUGACAUUAAAAAAACUCUCUUCUUUUCGACUUUUUUCGAACAAAUUGACACAUAAAAU